ACGGGUGCGUAACACGUGGGUAACCUGCCCUUUGGUGGGGAAUAACCUCGCGAAAGCGAGGCUAAUUCCGCAUAAGAUCCGCAAGGAUGAAAGCCGCUAGGCGCCGAAGGAGGGGCCCGCGCCCGAUUAGUUACUUGGUAGGGUAACGGCCUACCAAGACUAUGAUCGUU
RNAcentral lists this ribosomal RNA (170 nucleotides) under uncultured bacterium. Its description in RNAcentral is "partial 16S ribosomal RNA". It matches the Rfam family "Bacterial small subunit ribosomal RNA", at positions 102 to 284 of the family's 1533-position model. The record is from RNAcentral.